UGGGGAAUCUUGGACAAUGGGCGCAAGCCUGAUCCAGCCAUGCCGCGUGAGUGAUGAAGGCCUUAGGGUCGUAAAGCUCUUUCGCCAGAGAUGAUAAUGACAGUAUCUGGUAAAGAAACCCCGGCUAACUCCGUGCCAGCAGCCGCGGUAAUACGGAGGGGGUUAGCGUUGUUCGGAAUUACUGGGCGUAAAGCGUACGUAGGCGGAUUAGUCAGUCAGAGGUGAAAUCCCAGGGCUCAACCCUGGAACUGCCUUUGAUACUGCUAGUCUUGAGUUCGAGAGAGGUGAGUGGAAUUCCAAGUGUAGAGGUGAAAUUCGUAGAUAUUUGGAGGAACACCAGUGGCGAAGGCGGCUCACUGGCUCGAUACUGACGCUGAGGUACGAAAGUGUGGGGAGCAAACAGGAUUAGAUACCCUGGUAGUCCACACCGUAAACGAUGAAUGCCAGUCGUCGGGCAGUAUACUGUUCGGUGACACACCUAAC
This 483-nucleotide ribosomal RNA is filed under the name uncultured marine bacterium. Its description in RNAcentral is "bacterial SSU rRNA". It matches the Rfam family "Bacterial small subunit ribosomal RNA", at positions 355 to 856 of the family's 1533-position model. The record is from RNAcentral.